AACGAACGCUGGCGGCAUGCCUAACACAUGCAAGUCGAGCGCUCCGCAAGGGGAGUGGCGAACGGGUGAGUAACGCGUGGGAACCUGCCCAGUAGUUGGGGAUAACCGCGGGAAACUGCGGCUAAUACCGAAUACGCCCUAAGGGGAAAGGAUUUAUCGCUAUUGGAGGGGCCCGCGUCGGAUUAGCUGGUUGGUGAGGUAACGGCUCACCAAGGCGACGAUCCGUAGCUGGUCUGAGAGGANGAUCAGCCACACUGGGACUUAGACACGGCCCAGACUCCUACGGGAGGCAGCAGUGGGGAAUAUUGGACAAUGGGGGCGAACCCUGAUCCAGCAAUGCCGCGUGAGUGAUGAAGGCCUUAGGGUUGUAAAGCUUC
Molecule: ribosomal RNA, 377 nt
Filed under: uncultured bacterium
Lineage: Bacteria
Description: bacterial SSU rRNA
Rfam family: Bacterial small subunit ribosomal RNA
Source: RNAcentral